GAGUUAUGGCUACAGAACGAACGCUGGCGGCAGGUCUUAGGCAUGCAAGUCGAACGGAUGACAAGGGAGCUUGCUUCCUGAAGUCAGUGGCGCACGAGUGAGUAACGCGUGGGAAACUGCCCUUCACUGGGGAAUAACGUUUGGAAACGAACGCUAAUACCGCAUACGCCCGCAAGGGGAAAGAUUUAUCGGUGAUGGAUGUGCCCGCGUUGGAUUAGCUAGUUGGUGGGGUAAUGGCCUACAAGGCGAUGAUCCAUAGCUGGUCUGAGAGGACGAUCAGCCACGCUGGAACUGAGACACGGUCCAGACUCCUACGGGAGGCAGCAGCUAAGAAUAUUGGGCAAUGGAGGAAACUCUGACCCAGCCAAUGCCGCGUGAAUGAAGAAGGCCUUCGGGUUGUAAAGUUCUUUUAGUCAUGAAGAUGAUGACAGUAGUGACAGAAAAAGCACCGGCUAACUUCGUGCCAGCAGCGGC
Molecule: ribosomal RNA, 474 nt
Filed under: uncultured bacterium
Lineage: Bacteria
Description: bacterial SSU rRNA
Rfam family: Bacterial small subunit ribosomal RNA
Source: RNAcentral